AGAGUAUGGGAGAGGAUGGUAGAAUUCCAGGUGUAGCGGUGAAAUGCGUAGAGAUCUGGAGGAAUACCGAUGGCGAAGGCAGCCAUCUGGCCUAAUACUGACGCUGAGGUACGAAAGCAUGGGGAGCAAACAGGAUUAGAUACCCUGGUAGUCCAUGCCGUAAACGAUGUCUACUAGCCGUUGGGGCCUUUGAGGCUUUAGUGGCGCAGCUAACGCGAUAAGUAGACCGCCUGGGGAGUACGGUCGCAAGACUAAAACUCAAAUGAAUUGACGGGGGCCCGCACAAGCGGUGGAGCAUGUGGUUUAAUUCGAUGCAACGCGAAGAACCUUACCUGGCCUUGACAUACUAGAAACUUUCCAGAGAUGGAUUGGUGCCUUCGGGAAUCUAGAUACAGGUGCUGCAUGGCUGUCGUCAGCUCGUGUCGUGAGAUGUUGGGUUAAGUCCCGCAACGAGCGCAACCCUUUUCCUUACUUGCCAGCAUUUCGGAUGGGAAC
Molecule: ribosomal RNA, 495 nt
Filed under: uncultured Acinetobacter sp.
Lineage: Bacteria; Pseudomonadati; Pseudomonadota; Gammaproteobacteria; Moraxellales; Moraxellaceae
Description: bacterial SSU rRNA
Rfam family: Bacterial small subunit ribosomal RNA
Source: RNAcentral